AGUCAAUAGAUACCCGGGUAGUCCACGCCGUAAACGAUGAGUACUAGGUGUAGGAGGUAUCGACUCCUUCUGUGCCGCAGUUAAACACAAUAAGUACUCCGCCUGGGAAGUACGGUCGCAAGAUUAAAACCUCAAAGGAAUUGACGGGGGUCCCGCACAAGCAGCGGAGCAUGUGGUUUAAUUCGAAGCAACGCGAAGAACCUUACCUAGACUUGACAUCUCCUGAAUAGUGUAGAGAUACAUGAAGCCCUUCGGGGUCAGGAAGACAGGUGGUGCAUGGUUGUCGUCAGCUCGUGUCGUGAGAUGUUGGGUUUAACGUCCCGCAACGAGCGCAACCCUUAUUACUAGUUGCUACCAUUAACGUUGAGCACUCUAGUGAGACUGCCCGGGG
RNAcentral lists this ribosomal RNA (391 nucleotides) under uncultured bacterium. RNAcentral describes it as "bacterial SSU rRNA". It matches the Rfam family "Bacterial small subunit ribosomal RNA", at positions 775 to 1158 of the family's 1533-position model. The record is from RNAcentral.